AUUGAACGCUGGCGGCAUGCUUUACACAUGCAAGUCGAACGGCAGCACGGGGGCAACCCUGGUGGCGAGUGGCGAACGGGUGAGUAAUACAUCGGAACGUGUCCUGUAGUGGGGGAUAACCUGGCGAAAGCCAGGCUAAUACCGCAUAAGCUCGGGAGAGGAAAGCGGGGGAUCGGCAACGACCUCGCGCUGGUGGAGCGGCCGAUGUCCGAUUAGCUAGUUGGUAGGGUAAAGGCCUACCAAGGCGACGAUCGGUAGCUGGUCUGAGAGGAUGAUCAGCCACACUGGGACUGAGACACGGCCCAGACUCCUACGGGAGGCUG
RNAcentral lists this ribosomal RNA (323 nucleotides) under uncultured Pseudomonadota bacterium. RNAcentral describes it as "bacterial SSU rRNA". It matches the Rfam family "Bacterial small subunit ribosomal RNA", at positions 29 to 351 of the family's 1533-position model. The record is from RNAcentral. Lineage: Bacteria; Pseudomonadati; Pseudomonadota.